CAAUGGGCUGCCCAUGGGCAUA
This 22-nucleotide non-coding RNA is filed under the name Arabidopsis thaliana (thale cress). The record is from RNAcentral. Lineage: Eukaryota; Viridiplantae; Streptophyta; Magnoliopsida; Brassicales; Brassicaceae.